This is a long non-coding RNA of Dreissena polymorpha, 2150 nucleotides long. RefSeq lists it as uncharacterized. The record is from RefSeq and is a predicted model, not a curated record. Lineage: Eukaryota; Metazoa; Mollusca; Bivalvia; Myida; Dreissenidae. The transcript is spliced from 3 exons.
UCAAAAAAUAACCCACUUUCAUACCAAAACACACUUAAACCAACAUAAAACUGUGUUUUUUCUGAGUUUUUCUUAGCGGAAGUUGGUUUUUGCUAAUAAAAGUGAGUUUUAUGUGCGCUAAACUGUGCUUAACUGAGUUUAAAGUUGGUUAUUUUAAGAAGAUGUGUGUUUAAGCGAGUUUUUUUCAGUAAGAAGUCGGUUUUUUGUGUGUCAAAAGUGAGCCUUUUUAUUUAUGAGUUGGUUUAUGUGUGUUUAAGUGUGUCUUUUUGUUUUAUAAGCGUGUCUUUUACAACAGAAGUUGGUCUUUUUUUAAACAGAAGUGGGUUUAAGCGAGUUUAACUUGGUCUUUUUGUAAAUAAGUUGAGAGCUGCAACGAGGCUUAAAGACUCACUUUAACACACUUUUCAACAAGUUGGUCUUUUGUUUAUUAAUAUAACUCAUCAAUGAAACAAUAAUUCUUCAACUGGGUCUUUGUUUGAUGUUUAUAGCCAUAAAUAAAACAAGUCAAUUGUAAAGGGGCUUUUUUUACAGCUUGUUUGCCAUUGUCCCUAUUGUACAUUUGUGUGCUCCCCAUAAUUUUUAGGGAAUAUUGGAUGAAAAUGGCUCUUUCAGAACAUCACAGGUUCACAGAUGGACAACAAGUAUCACUGACAAAAACUAACAAUGGUCAAGCUUAGUUUUAUACAUGAAAAUGAAAGAGUUUGUGUUUCACUUUGAAUUUUUUCUUUAUGUUUGUUUUUAUUAUAAACAAUAUCUUAUGAUUGUUUUAUGUCUUAAUUUUUUAUUUUUUUUUAAACAAUCUCAUAUGAUUGUUUAUAUUUGUUUAAAACAGUAUUUACUUGUAAAAUCUGCAUAUUUAAAUAAUUAUGGUAUUGGAAACAUUAUUUUGGAAAUAAUCUAUUUAUUUUUGUACAUAAGUUAUGCAAGAUUUUGAUAUUUGCAUAUGAUACCAUCAUAUCCAUUUUCUUAAUUUGGAAUAAAAUAAUAAAAUGCCAAACAUUACCUGUGUUACAUAAACUGUCAACAAAAUAACAAGACAAUACCUUAAAACACCCUUAUUUCACACCACUAACAAUAAACAGUUAACAAUCUGUCAGGCAUUCAGAGCUAAACAGGGUACUGAUUAUCUAGGGGUAGAUAAGGCUACUGAUGGGGUCCUAGAGAUAAGGCUGUGUGGAAUAAGAUAUAAGGCUUUUGAUUGGCUAUUGCACUGAGGAAGUUAUCUUUUUGAAAACAACAACUUUUGAAAAACAAGCUGGUGUCAGCAACUGAAUAUUGAGCUAAAUUUAAUUCAGCAACAUUAAUAUAAAGAAGUGAAAGACUUAUAAUGGUAGUGUAAAAUGUCUUGAAAUUCUGUCAGCAUGAAGUAUUGUGUGAUGAAAACAAUGUGUUUUUUACUGCAAUGUGGAAAUCAAUAAUAAGUUGGUUGGAAAGGAGGUUGAACUGCCUGUUGUUGUUUUUGGAAUACUGAAGAACAGUUUUAACAGGUUAAACUCUUGCCACAAGGCAAAAUUGACAUCGUUGGGAAGAUCCUUUGGAAAAAAUGUGCAUCAUCGCCUGCCUGAUGUAUGGACUUUUAAACCUGGUUUUUACCCUGCACAAGCUGGCAAACUUGAGGGGAACAAGAGUGGGAAAACCUCGCCCUGUCCUUGACCAAGAAAGCUCGAUUUGUUGAGAGAUCAACUGGCAUAAGAGAUGCUCAAGAGGAGAAGGACACAAGCAGCAUCAAUGGAACAACUACAUGUCGCUCCAGCGCCCGCUUUCCAGGUCUCUACCAGCUGCUUUCCAGGUCCCUCCACCCGCCAAGAUCAGGUCUAGGUCCCUGCACUGGCUGCUUUCCAGGUCCCCUAGCGGUCAAGGUCUCUCCAGUAGCUGCUGUGCAGGUCCCAACACCGUAUGCCGUCAAGGUCCCUCCUUAAGCUGAAAUCCAGGUUCCUCAUUCCACUGCGGUUCAGGUACCUCCAACAGCUGAGAUCCAGGUCUCUGCAGCAGCUGCGGUCUAAAUACUCCACCCGCAGUGGUCCAUUGCGGUCAAACUUUUGCUUUAAAAUCUUCCAUAAAUGUCUAUUAUUUUAUAAUGUAUUGUAAAAAUAAUCUGUUAGUAUUAAUUUGCGGUGUACUAUUUUUGUCAUAUAAACAUAAUUUUCGUA